RNAcentral lists this ribosomal RNA (253 nucleotides) under uncultured bacterium. RNAcentral's name for it is "partial 16S ribosomal RNA". It matches the Rfam family "Bacterial small subunit ribosomal RNA", at positions 524 to 776 of the family's 1533-position model. The record is from RNAcentral.
UACGUAGGCAGCAAGCGUUGAUCGGAGUUACUGGGCGUAAAGAGUAUGUAGGCGGUGUUCUAAGUUCGGUGUGAAAUCUCCCGGCUCAACUGGGAGGGUGCGCCGAAGACUGGGAUGCUGGAGUCUCGGAGAGGAACGCGGAAUUCCUGGUGUAGCGGUGAAAUGCGUAGAUAUCAGGAGGAACACCAGUGGUGUAGACGGCGUUCUGGACGAGUACUGACGCUGAGAUACGAAAGCGUGGGGAGCAAACAGG